Molecule: ribosomal RNA, 301 nt
Filed under: uncultured bacterium
Lineage: Bacteria
Description: partial 16S ribosomal RNA
Rfam family: Bacterial small subunit ribosomal RNA
Source: RNAcentral
CAGUAGCCGCGGGAAUACAGAGGGUGCGAGCGUUAAUCGGAUUUACUGGGCGUAAAGCGUGCGUAGGCGGCUUUUUAAGUCGGAUGUGAAAUCCCUGAGCUUAACUUAGGAAUUGCAUUCGAUACUGGGAAGCUAGAGUAUGGGAGAGGAUGGUAGAAUUCCAGGUGUAGCGGUGAAAUGCGUAGAGAUCUGGAGGAAUACCGAUGGCGAAGGCAGCCAUCUGGCCUAAUACUGACGCUGAGGUACGAAAGCAUGGGGAGCAAACAGGAUUAGAUACCCCAGUAGUCCCUGUCUUUUAUAU